RNAcentral lists this long non-coding RNA (229 nucleotides) under Setaria italica (foxtail millet). RNAcentral's name for it is "long non-coding RNA (SITA_LNC003005)". The record is from RNAcentral. Lineage: Eukaryota; Viridiplantae; Streptophyta; Magnoliopsida; Poales; Poaceae.
UUGGAACUACCUGUUUUUUGUGCAGCCUUGUUCCAUAUAAUGCUUGGUUAUAAGUGCUAACUUCCUACUCCUUUUAGUUGUAAAACCCACCGCCUAAUGUACGCGCAAAGAUAAUUCUGCUAAUUUUAGCCAACAUGGACCACCAAUAUUAUUUUAUCGAAUUUAGGUUCUCAUGGUAGUACAAACCAAUAGUGUUCCAACAUGAUGGCACUAACUUGACUUUAUUUAC